This is a non-coding RNA of Cricetulus griseus (Chinese hamster), 870 nucleotides long. NCBI's taxonomy places the organism in Eukaryota, Metazoa, Chordata, Mammalia, Rodentia, Cricetidae. The record is from RefSeq and is a predicted model, not a curated record.
AGUACAUCCUGUGGUUAAUGGCAUGGUAUUGAGCAUUGCAUCCAUGUAUGUCUAGCAUUCCUUGGAUCCCUGGAGAAUGCUACUUGUUGAAGAUUUGGAUGUACCAAAGCCAGAUGUAUGCUCAGAAGACAUCUAGUUGGGCACACUGCUGGUGUCUGGGGAAUGACAUGGCAGGAAAUGAAUCUAAUCAACCUGAAUCCGAGGUUUUGCUUAUGCUAUUGCGAAGCAUUUCUUCAUGAAGACCAAUCGACUUGCUACUCAUUUUUGGAGACGGGGGUGGACUCCAGAGACUAGGUUACUAAAUAAGAAAUAAAAAGCUAAACAUGACAGAAGUGACUCAGAGAUAAGGAAGCUUCUGAAUUAGCCUGGGGGUGCUGUUCUAGCUCUUCACUGUCAACCAUGUUGAAGUUUACUGCUGUAGCUAAAGCAUAUAUGCCAAAAUAGUCUCUCGUCCCUGCAUCUCACUGUGACCUCAUCCCAGUCCCCACACCCAGAUACAGCUUGGCUGCAGCUGUGGGGAAAAGAUAAAACCAUUCCUGGAUUCUGAUAUGUUGGAGGCCAGAAUAGCCUGUGAGAAGAAAAGCCAGCAUACCCUGACCAUCAAUACAUUAAUAUUUGAGACCGCAGGUGUUGAGGUCUUCAUUCCAUGCUGAGAAGUGUUUCCCUCCAUGGAGACUGGAAACCCCUUGAGCAGAUGCUCUGACCCUGUGCUCAGUGCCCAAGCAACAGCUAACAGGUGGAUGGAAACACGGGCGGUGCAGACGGCUCAGAGGCUAAGGGUGCUGCUUCAGGCCUAAAAAAACCUGGCUUUGGUUCCUGGAAUUUUCAUGACAGGAGGAGAGAGCCAACUUCCACAGGUUGUCCUCCCCC